Molecule: transfer RNA, 74 nt
Filed under: Pteropus alecto (black flying fox)
Lineage: Eukaryota; Metazoa; Chordata; Mammalia; Chiroptera; Pteropodidae
Rfam family: tRNA
About the family: Transfer RNA (tRNA) molecules are approximately 80 nucleotides in length. Their secondary structure includes four short double-helical elements and three loops (D, anti-codon, and T loops). Further hydrogen bonds mediate the characteristic L-shaped molecular structure. tRNAs have two regions of fundamental functional importance: the anti-codon, which is responsible for specific mRNA codon recognition, and the 3' end, to which the tRNAs corresponding amino acid is attached (by aminoacyl-tRNA synthetases). tRNAs cope with the degeneracy of the genetic code in two manners: having more than one tRNA (with a specific anti-codon) for a particular amino acid; and 'wobble' base-pairing, i.e. permitting non-standard base-pairing at the 3rd anti-codon position.
Source: Rfam by way of RNAcentral
GGCUCCAUAAUGUAGUGGUUAGCACAUCUGCUUGGCACGCAGAAGGUCCUGGGUUCGUGCCCCAGGUGGAGCCA